GACGAACGCUGGCGGCGUGCUUAACACAUGCAAGUCGAACGGGUCUGCCCUGUUUUUUGCGGGGUGGGUCAGUGGCGAACGGGUUAGUAACACGUGAGUAACCUGCCCCUCACUUCUGGAUAACCGCUUGAAAGGGUGGCUAAUACGGGGUGUUCUGGCUGUGCCGCAUGGUGUGGCUGGGAAAGAUUCACUUUUGUGGUGUUUUGGUGGGGGAUGGGCUCGCGGCCUAUCAGCUUGUUGGUGGGGUGAUGGCCUGCCAAGGCUUUGACGGGUAGCCGGCGUGAGAGGGUGGGCGGUCACACUGGGACUGAGAUACGGCCCAGACUCCUGCGGGAGGCAGCAGUGGGGGGUAUUGCACAAUGGGCGGAAGCCUGAUGCAGCGACGUCGCGUGAGGGAUGGAGGCCUUCGGGUUGUGAACCUCUUUCGCCGGUGAAGAAGGUCCUGCUCUUUGUGGUGGGGUUGACGGUAGCCGGGUUAUGAAGCGCCGGCUAACUACGUG
This 500-nucleotide ribosomal RNA is filed under the name uncultured bacterium. RNAcentral's name for it is "partial 16S ribosomal RNA". It matches the Rfam family "Bacterial small subunit ribosomal RNA", at positions 28 to 507 of the family's 1533-position model. The record is from RNAcentral.